Molecule: long non-coding RNA, 1234 nt
Filed under: Macaca mulatta (Rhesus monkey)
Lineage: Eukaryota; Metazoa; Chordata; Mammalia; Primates; Cercopithecidae
Description: lncRNA (ENSMMUG00000058080.1)
Source: RNAcentral
ACUAAAAAAUACAAAAAACUAGCCGGGCGAGGUGGCGGCGCCUGUAGUCCCAGCUACUCGGGAGGCUGAGGCAGGAGAAUGGCGUAAACCCGGGAGGCGGAGCUUGCAGUGAGCUGAGAUCUGGCCACCGUACUCCAGCCUGGGCGACAGAGCCAGACUCCGUCUCAAAAAAAAAAAUUAAAAAAUUAAAAAAAAUUAAGAAGAGAAAAUGGCCGGUCCUUGCCUUAAGUGAUGACAUUACCUUGUGAAAGUCCUUUUCCUGGCUCAUCCUGGCUCAAAAAGCUCCCCCACUGAGCACCUUGUGACCCUACUCCUGCCCACCAGAGAACAACCCCCCUUUGACUGUAAUUUUCCUUUACCUACCCAAAUCCUAUAAAACGGCCCACCCUUUUAUCCCCCUUCACUGACUGUCUUUUUGGACUCAUCCCACCUGCACCCAGGUGAUUAAAAUGCUUUAUUGCUCACACAAAGCUGGUUUGGUGGUCUCUUCACACAGACACACAUGACAGUUAGCACUUGGUCAGUAACACAAUAUCCAUUCCAAAAGUCCUGUUUUGUAUUCUCCAUCCGUGACAGACAUGGGAAGGAGAGUCAGCUUCUUUAGGAACUAGGAAUGGCUGUAAGACACAGUUCCCACUCAUGAGAGCUUAACAAAAUUAGGCUGUUGUGCAAGGCAAGGGAAAAUGUUGGUUUUCCUGAUAAGGGACAGGCACAGCAGCACUGUACCUUACCUUGUUUUUUUUUUUUUUUUCUUUUCCUGAGAUGUGGACAUAAUGCUUGACGUUAAGCAUAAGAAUGAAGAAAUGCAAGAAAAUCUUAGAGUCCUUAAUGAAUCAAUAGAAGCAGCAGCCUCUUUUCCUGUGAUCAAAAAAAUGGUAGUGGUACCAGCCACUUGAGAUGAAUACUACAUCUUUGACGCUGAGAAAACAUCAAAAUGCGUGCAGUCUCUCUGUCCACAUGAUUGGAAAUAUUCUCAAGUCAUUCAGGUUCAUCUAUGAUAAACUGUGGAUUUUUCCAGAAAGUCUUCAUUGCAGUGUUGGCACAACUUCCAUAUAAACUAUAUCUACGUUCAUGGGAGAACAGUGAGGGUAUGGUGAAGUAUGCAUUGGUACUUAGCGUUUCUGUCAAGAAUUGGUAAGCACUCUUCUGCUCACAUUUAUUUACCUAAACAACUUAUGAAAACAUUCUCGAGUUCAACAGAGUUGUGUUUUGUAUUCAACCUGCAGGAAAGGAU